UACGGAGGGUGCAAGCGUUAUCCGGAUUCACUGGGCUUAAAGGGUGCGUAGGUGGGUUGGUAAGUCAGUGGUGAAAUCUCCGAGCUUAACUUGGAAACUGCCAUUGAUACUAUCAGUCUUGAAUAUUGUGGAGGUCAGCGGAAUAUGUCAUGUAGCGGUGAAAUGCUUAGAGAUGGCAUAGAACACCAAUUGCGAAGGCAGCUGGCUACACAUAUAUUGACGCUGAGGCACGAAAGCGUGGGGAGCAAACAGG
Molecule: ribosomal RNA, 253 nt
Filed under: uncultured bacterium
Lineage: Bacteria
Description: partial 16S ribosomal RNA
Rfam family: Bacterial small subunit ribosomal RNA
Source: RNAcentral